UGUAUGGUGGUCUUCGUUUGGCGUUUGUAUCCGUUUGUCAGCACAUUUCCGCCGUAGUGGAUCAUAACGCCCUCGGCCAUGAAGAAGGAGAACUGUGGUGUUGGAGGAUCUUCAGUGCCCGCUUAGAAGUCUAGCUUAGCUCAAAAUACACCAUAUACAAGAUGAAAGAUAGAUAAAGAGCGUUUCUAACUGGCCAAGCUACCAAAUUUCUGAUAGAGGGACUUGAUGGCGCCAAUGCUGGUUAGGACCAUUAGGACCAUAGUGACGACCUGCAUGAGAACAACGAAAUCCUGGCCUUGGCCCCUGAAAAUUCCAGUCUGCGUGUAUCCGUAAAACUGCGCCAUCAUGGCGAUCACGAAGGCGGCAAAGCUGAGGACCACGUGGAAGGUCUUGUUGACCAAGGGUGAGAUGGUCCUGCUCAGGGAUCUCGCCAGGAAGGCGACAAGUCCACUCAGCAAUGAGAUCAGGCACAGGAUGAAGGCGGCGAAACCCAGGCGUGCAUGCAACGUGACGCUAAUUGCCCAAUCGUCGCGUAUUAGUUGGAUCAAACAGCCGGCCACGCCCAUGCCGCCCCCCAGGAUCUGAAGGACCACGUGAAAGGCAGUCUUGUACUUUCGGGAGUAGCGCACCGUUAGCCAACUACCGUCGUAGAAGCACAUCAUUCCCUCGGCCAUUAGGAAAACAAAUCCGAAGGUAACCAGCCAGGCAUGAAGGCGAAUUCCCGAGAGGUCCUGGCGCAAGCAGGUCCAGCUGACCCAAAUGGUGACGAAUCCUAUGCACAGCUGGUUGAUCACAUAUAGCGCCGAUUCUAUAUGCUGCAGCAGUGACGUUGGUUUGGACUUUUCAUCGCUCAUUGUGGCGCUACCUUGGAAUUAUUUCACAGAAAUUGUAAUUGCAAUUUCAAGAAAUUAGUAAUUUUAAUUUCACAAACACUGCUAUUAGAUUCACAUGAGCUUUAGUUUAA
Long non-coding RNA from Drosophila yakuba, 964 nucleotides. RefSeq lists it as uncharacterized. The transcript is spliced from 2 exons. NCBI's taxonomy places the organism in Eukaryota, Metazoa, Arthropoda, Insecta, Diptera, Drosophilidae. The record is from RefSeq and is a predicted model, not a curated record.